Molecule: unclassified non-coding RNA, 5867 nt
Filed under: Apis florea (little honeybee)
Lineage: Eukaryota; Metazoa; Arthropoda; Insecta; Hymenoptera; Apidae
Description: rho guanine nucleotide exchange factor 11, transcript variant X6
Source: RNAcentral
ACUAUGGGACGUUGGGUUGUGCUUCGCUCCAAUACAAGAUGGCUGACACUUGUUAGUAGUGUAUUUUCGUUUUAUCGAAUGUGUAAGUAUUUUAUAAAAAAAUCAGUGCCUUCAUAUUCAUGCACGUAUUGUGUGUGUAUGUUUGUACAAGUAGUACAGAAGUGGUCUUCCUUUUUUUACCAAAUAGUUCUCUUAUCAUGCAUUAUCAGGAGUCAUCAAAAUGUACCGUGAAAGUGCUAGAGACAGAAUAAUUAUCCGUCACCAGCCAUAUUCAUAUGUGUUCUUUUGUUAUGACAAUUGUGAUAUGUAUAAUUCCUGUGAAAUAUAGUGCCAAGGUGAAGUGAUAUCUCACUUUGUUGUUCUUCUAUUCCGUUAUUGGUGUUUUGUACAAGAUUCGUUCCACUACGAAAUAGAUUAAAUGAAAGGUCAUACAAUUGCGCUGCAGCCGGGGCAGAGGUGAGGGGAGGCCAGGCGGAGAUCGAAGAAGGGAUGAAUGGAACGGCGGCGUUGCGACGCAGCGUCGGGGGUGGCGGAGGCGCCGCCGGGGGUGGAACCGUUGAACCAGCACCCGUCGCCACCCUCGUCGUCUACAAGGACGAGGCCGGAUAUGGGAUGAAAGUCUCUGGUGAUAAUCCCGUCUAUGUUCAAUCUGUGAAGGAAGGUGGUGCAGCAGCAAGAGCAGGCCUUCAUGCGGGCGAUAAAAUCAUCAAGGUUAACGGCGUGAAUGUAAUGCAGUCCACGCAUACGGAUGUUGUACAGCUCAUAAAGUCUUCGACGCAGGUGGUACUGACGGUACAGCAAAAGCCAGUUGCAACGAGCAGCGCGGCGACGACGGCCACAGGGUUACAAGUUGGUCUAGCGGGUGGACAUCAGAGGCCAGUCAGUUUAUCAGCCGGUACCACAAUGGUAUCACCCUCGCAACCAGCGACUUCUUUACAUAGGGCAUCGACUGCUCCAGGCGCACCUUGUAAUGCACGUAUCACAGGACCUCAACCCGUUGAUCAUGAGAAAAAACGGCAAAUGGAAACUCAACGCGUUCAUACAUUCCAGCUUAUGUUGGAGAAAGAACAAAGUUAUGUUGAUAAGCUUCGUAGUGAACUUGCAAAAGCCAGCACUGGUAGUGGUAAUGUUAAUGUUGUAUCACUACAAACAGAAUUGGCGGGUGCCGAAAGAAGGGUGCGCACCAUGCAGGAACAACUAGCUGCGAUUACUACUAAUGAACAGCUUUGCUCGUUGGUAACAAACACCUCGUGUUCCCCGGGUUAUUAUUCACCCUUGAGUAGUUGCAGUGGUGAUGUACCACCGCCUCUACCAUCUCGUAAAUCCUUGUCCAUGCAAAGCCUGUCUCCGCCACCAUUGCCUCCCAGACCUCCGCCUACUACAAAUACGCACCACGUAGCCCAGUUGGAGCUGGAGCGUCAACUGUUGACUCAUUUAACGCCCUCAACCACCAGUCAUGGCAUACCUAACUCUCUUUCACAGGGUGCAAAUUUGGGUUCCUCAAAUUCACUUAAUAAGCAUCAACGAACAAAAUCCAGUCCAGAACAACUGGGAACCACAACUAUUUCUCCAUCAGAAGCUAGUAGACGUUUAAUAGCAUCAGAAUCAAUGAAUGAUCUUUCUCCUCCAAGACAUGUAAGGCAUAGCGAUAUUGACAUAGAUGAAUUACCUCAUAUCACUCCUCCAGGAACUCCACCUCCACCAUAUCCAGUUGCUAGUCCAGGAAAUGAUACUUCUGGUUCUACUAUCAAUGAUACAAUGUUAAAUGAAAGUAUUCCUGGAUUGCCAACAUUACAGCAGCCAAUCAUGUCAAUGGAAGAUGAUGAUAUGAGUGAUCAAGAAGUUGGGCAAUUAGAAGAUCAUGGUCCAUUCAAAUCUUUAUCCCGAUUAUGGGGACAUCAUGCACAUCUUGCUGUAUUUAUUAAUUAUGUUUUAUCAAAUAGUGAUCCCUCCAGUCUGUUGUUCUAUUUAGUAACGGAUCUGUACAAAGAAGGUAAUGCAAAAGAAAUGAGGAAAUGGGCAUAUGAAAUUCAUUCUAGUUUUUUAGUACCUGGUGCACCUCUUCGUCUGCAUAAUGUAGACGAAAAUGUAGCACAUGAAAUAGAUGAUGUUCUUUUGAAAGAAUCUGAUAAGGAAGAAAUUCUACGAAAAAUUUUUUGGAAAGCACGUACCCGCGCAAAAGAAGAAUUAAAUGAGCAACUAACAGAUUUUCAACAAAAGAGAACUGCUGGAUUAGGUACAUUAUUUGGUCCAAGUGAUGCUCAAUUGGAUGAAAGUGCAUCUGAUAAAACACGAGAAACAAAAAUUAUAGAAACAUACCUCUUACCUAAAAUGGAGCCUUAUUUAGAAGAUAUUGAAAAAGAACAUGUAGAUUUGCGACAAUUUACAACAGCAGCUGGUCUGGCAACAAUAUUAACAAAAAUUUUUCAAGUUCGACCAUUAUCGCUUGACCGAGUACCUACUUUUGUCGCAAAAGAUAAGUCAAAUCUCAAAGCGCGUUUACUUACGGGAAAAACAAGAAAAAUAUCAAUCAGAGGUCAUCAUUUUGUAGCUCAUCAAUACUUCACUAUUACCUAUUGUAAUCAUUGUCAACUUAUCAUUGGCGGAAUUGGACCUCAAGGAUACUUAUGUAGUGAUUGUUCUCUAAGUGUUCAUCGUCAAUGUGUUCGUGUAGUAGAAGAAAAUUGUCCAGGACCAUUGGUUAGAAAAGAAAGAGGCAAUGAUCGUAUAAGCAAAUUGAUGGAACGUAUCAGACCUGAAAGAAAACCACCAUCAUCACAUCAUCAUCACCAUUCUCAAAAUCACAUGCUUCAUGUUGAUAAAAUUAAAAGAAGUGAAGAAGACACUGGUGCAUUGACAGAUGGCGAAAAUGGAGAACAUCGCGGGGGCGUCAUAGCCGGAAACGCGCGUAGUAGUAGCGAAAGAGGACGCAUUUCCGCUUACAGCGGAGUCUCCGAUCACGCCGAUAGUAUGGACAAUCCUUCCUCGCGGGAAGAUAUUUCAGAAAUGGUGCAGCAAAAUAUUUCCAGUAAGCCAAAGACGUCAAACAUAAACAGGUCUGAAAGUUACAAGGAGCGGAUACAUCACAAGCGACAACUACGAGAGAAGAGAAAGACCAGCGACCCAAAUCUCUCUAAAACGAAGGCUGGUUUCAGUGACUCUGAACCGGCCGGGACAUUUCCCGGAAAUUCAGCGGGCAGUUCGUCGAACAGCAGUUUGUCGACGAGAAGUCUGGACAGUCCGAGUACCAGCCUGGAGCAGGUACAUCCAGCUACCUCCGCGGCCAACACAUCGACUUCGUGGGAUAGCGAUGUUGAUGUUGAACCGGAUCCUCCUGAUUGGAGUCAAGGUGUUGCCGAGGAUGUCCUCGCUCGGCUCAGCAAUGCCGAGAAAAAACGACAAGAAGUUAUCAAUGAACUCUUUCACACGGAGCGAUCUCACGUGCGGGCGCUGAGAGUGCUAUCACACGUCUUCCACAAGCCGCUCCUCGAAUCACAAGUACUUCCAUUAGACCAAAUACAAUUAUUAUUUUCCAAUCUAGACGAGAUGGUAACAAUUCAUUCACGCUUCAAUCAAGCGAUGAAGCGCAAGAAGAAGGAGAAUCCAUGCGUGGGCGAUGUCGGAGAUCUUCUUUUAGACAUGUUUGAUGGCGAGAACGGAGAAACCUUUGAGAGAGCUGCAUCUACUUAUUGUGCGAAACAACAAGUGGCUCUAGAUGCUCUGCGAGAUCGUCGUCGAAAAGAUCCGAAAUUGAACUCUUUCUUAAAUGAAAUUGAGGCUAAUCCUCUUUGUCGAAGGCUACAGCUCAAAGAUCAUAUAUUGACGGGGAUGCUCCGAUUGACAAAAUAUCCUUUACUCUUUGAAAAUUUGGCAAAAUACACGCCUGAAAGUAACGAAAAGGAAAGAGCUGCGGUUUUACGAAGUCUUGAUCGAAGUAAGGAAAUUCUCAGUUGUGUUAACCAAGCGGUACGCGAGGCAGAAGAUUAUCAAAGAUUGGCAGAGAUCCAACGUACCAUCGAUAGAUCUGCAUUUGAUAAAUUUGAUCAUCCAACUGUUCAGGAAUUCAAGAAUCUAGACAUUACGAAACGUAAAUUGAUCUACGAAGGUCCGUUACAAUGGCGUAGAACCGAACAGAAUAGAGCAAAACCGGUCGAUCUACAUGUGGUAUUGCUCGACGAUACGAUACUCCUGUUGCAUCGACAAGAUGAAAAGUACCUGCUGAAAUUUAUCAACCCAAAUCAAGCGAACUCUGUAUUGAGUCCCAUUGUAAAAGUAUCUACUGUUCUUGUCAGGCAUAAUGCCGUAGACAAAAAUUCUCUUUAUCUGGUCAAUACAUCGCAAAAUGGAGCGCAGAUCUAUGAUUUAGUAGCAGCCUCGCCUGCAGAACGAAAACAAUGGUUUAAACACAUCUCUGAAGCAGCUGAAGCAUAUAAGGCUCGUGAUAAACAAGGUAGAAGACCUACUCCACCUACUACACUGCCAGAAGAACCUGGACCUACGAUCGAAGAUUCUUCUUCGACAGAACAUGACAAUAUUCCUAAUAAAACAGAUCAGGAAGAACAAGAAUCAGAAACAAAGGAAUCUACGCAAGACACUAGCAUGGAACAAGAAGGAGAAACACCUAAUAUUCCUGGACCUGAGAUCUCAAGGAUUGAACAAACGAAACAGCAACAGCCACAACACUCAUCUGAACCUUCAAGCACAGGUACAGGAGAACCAUUACGAUUAGUUACUUGUACACAAGCAUCGUUAAUCGAUCCGCUUGAAGUUCAUGUAGAAGUACCACCUGUACAUGUUGCAGAACCAGUGCUUACACCAAUAGAAUGUCUUAGAAGAAAAGAUGAGAUUAUUAAGCAAGCAUUGAUCGAAAAACAAUUAUUAGUAGCAGAUAUAUUAAAUAUUCCAAAAGAAGAUUUUGAACAUGUGGCUGAUAUGGCAUCUGAACCAUCAAGUAUAGAAAAGGAACCUGCUGAACUUAUACUUGCUGCUAUUAGUCAAGCGAAUCAAUUGGUUGGAAUGUUAAAUUCUGCAUUAAAUGUAAGUGAAACGGAAACUGUUCUUGCAUCACGCGGGGCAUCGAUAUUAGCAACACCGCCAAGUUGUGAGGCAACUGGUUGUCCAUCACCUCGAAUGCAUCUUCAUCCACAACAACCAGCAAUAUCAAUUGCAAGUUUACAACCAAUUUGUCAUUCUUUAACUUCUCAAUUAUCACAAUUAUUGGAAAUUAUAAAAGAGAGAGAAGAAGAACGAGAGACAUUAAGAAAAGAGUUACGCAGAAGUAGAGAACGUCUUCAUGCUCUUGAUGCAGAUAUACAACGUCGUGAAUUUUCAGAAACAUGCACCGCAUCAAGUCAAACACAAACAGAACCCAGUUAGUUUCUCAAUUUUUUUAGAAUGUGAAGUUUUAAAUAAGGAUAGCAGUAUUGACGAUCCCACUCGUGAUGAAUUUGUAGAUGCACGUGGUGAAUUUGAGACAAACGAAGAAUUGGAACAUACAGAACACGAAACAGAAACAGAAGUAAUGGGAGAUAGUGUCGGUUGAAAGAUGCAAGAUAACGCAUUAAAUACAACUAGAUGCAUUUCACGAGCAAGAUCGUUUCCGAAUGCUCAUACUGGAAGAAAUCAAAAUUAUGUAAAAAAUGACAAAUGGCGAGUAGCUGUUUAUGGAAUAUAAUAAUAUUAGAUACAUAUUUACAGAGUCAUGGGUCGAUGAUUAAUCACACCUUUGCCAAAGAUUUUAUGUAACUGGAUUUACAUGAUGUACAUGAUGUAGCAGCGAAUGCAUGUAUACAUCAUAUUAUAUCAAUGACUGGAAAUUACAUAAAUUUUUUAUUGCCAAUAAUAUAACGAUGCAGUUUCUGAAAUAA